GAAAUGCGAUAAGUAAUGUGAAUUGCAGAAUUCAGUGAAUCAUCGAAUCUUUGAACGCACCUUGCGCUCCUUGGUAUUCCUUGGAGCAUGCCUGUUUGAGUAUCAUGAAAUCUUCAAAGUAAAUCUUUUGUUAACUCAAUUGGUUUCUACUUUGGUAUUGGAGGUCUUUGCAGCUUCACACCUGCUCCUCUUUGUUCAUUAGCUGGAUCUCAGUGUUAUGCUUGGUUCCACUCGGCGUGAUAAGUUAUCUAUCGCUGAGGACACUGUAAAAGGUGGCCAAGGUAAAUGCAGAUGAACCGCUUCUAAUAGUCCAUUGACUUGGACAAUACUUUUAUGAUCUGAUCUCAAAUCAGGUAGGACUCCCCGCUGAACUUACGC
Molecule: unclassified non-coding RNA, 378 nt
Filed under: plant metagenome
Description: partial contains 5.8S ribosomal RNA, internal transcribed spacer 2, and large subunit ribosomal RNA
Rfam family: 5.8S ribosomal RNA (bases 1-105)
Source: RNAcentral